This 388-nucleotide ribosomal RNA is filed under the name uncultured bacterium. RNAcentral describes it as "bacterial SSU rRNA". It matches the Rfam family "Bacterial small subunit ribosomal RNA", at positions 30 to 416 of the family's 1533-position model. The record is from RNAcentral.
AUUGAACGCUGGCGGCAUGCCUUACACAUGGAAGUCGAACAGCAGCACGGGAGCUUGCUCCUGGUGGCGAGUGGCGAACGGGUGAGUAAUACAUCGGAACGUACCCUGAAGUGGGGGAUAACGUAGCGAAAGUUACGCUAAUACCGCAUAUUCUGUGAGCAGGAAAGAGGGGGAUCGCAAGACCUCUUGCUUUAGGAGCGGCCGAUGUCGGAUUAGCUAGUUGGUGAGGUAAAGGCUCACCAAGGCGACGAUCCGUAGCGGGUCUGAGAGGAUGAUCCGCCACACUGGGACUGAGACACGGCCCAGACUCCUACGGGAGGCAGCAGUGGGGAAUUUUGGACAAUGGGCGCAAGCCUGAUCCAGCCAUGCCGCGUGAGUGAAGAAGGCC